RNAcentral lists this long non-coding RNA (403 nucleotides) under Mytilus galloprovincialis (Mediterranean mussel). The record is from RNAcentral. Lineage: Eukaryota; Metazoa; Mollusca; Bivalvia; Mytilida; Mytilidae.
CCAACCACUAGAUUUAUAGAUUCUGAACUAAAAUAUCUUACCACCAACUAUUUCCAGAAAUAAUUUGAAAUCACGGACCUCCAUGUAAACGUCGAAAACUCUAUUCCAAUUCCCCUGUACCCAUAUCAUACAAGUAAACUAACUAAUAGUGUGCUACCACUAGAAACACAGACUGCCCCGAAACGACUAAAAACUUGGAAAAGGGCAUGCAUGAGUGGCGAGAGAUUAAUAUGCUGUCUUGCCAUGCUCCAUGUUCAUGGCGAUAAGGAUGUCAGCAGACCAAAUAUUCUGAAACGAUGUGACAAAACCGGUCAUAGAAAAAUUGGCAAUAUCUACUGAAUCGAUGUGUGUUCUAUGUUCUUGCGACAGACUCACAUUGCUAUUUGGAAUUGUAUGUGACAUA